RNAcentral lists this ribosomal RNA (253 nucleotides) under uncultured bacterium. Its description in RNAcentral is "partial 16S ribosomal RNA". It matches the Rfam family "Bacterial small subunit ribosomal RNA", at positions 524 to 776 of the family's 1533-position model. The record is from RNAcentral.
UACGUAGGGGGCGAGCGUUGUCCGGAAUUAUUGGGCGUAAAGAGCUCGUAGGCGGUCUGUUGCGUCGGCUGUGAAAACCCGGGGCUCAACCCCGGGCCUGCAGCCGAUACGGGCAGACUAGAGUUCGGCAGGGGAGACUGGAAUUCCUGGUGUAGCGGUGAAAUGCGCAGAUAUCAGGAGGAACACCGGUGGCGAAGGCGGGUCUCUGGGCCGAUACUGACGCUGAGGAGCGAAAGCGUGGGGAGCGAACAGG